UAAAACGUAGGAGGCGAGCGUUAUCCGGAUUCACUGGGCUUAAAGCGCGUGCAGGCGGUCUGAUAAGUCGGACGUGAAAUCUCCUGGCUCAACUGGGAGAGGCCGUUCGAUACUGCCAGACUAGAGGGCAGGAGAGGGAGGUGGAAUUCCGGGUGUAGCGGUGAAAUGCGUAGAUAUCCGGAGGAACACCUGUGGCGAAAGCGGCCUCCUGGUCUGCCCCUGACGCUCAGACGCGAAAGCUAGGGGAGCAAACGGGAUUAGAAACCCCGGUAGUCCUAGCUGUAAACUAUGCAGACUUGGUGUUGGCGGCUUAAACACCGUCAGUGCCGAAGCCAAAGCGAUAAGUCUGCCGCCUGGGGACUACGGCCGCAAGGUUA
RNAcentral lists this ribosomal RNA (377 nucleotides) under uncultured bacterium. RNAcentral's name for it is "bacterial SSU rRNA". It matches the Rfam family "Bacterial small subunit ribosomal RNA", at positions 521 to 896 of the family's 1533-position model. The record is from RNAcentral.